Molecule: long non-coding RNA, 725 nt
Filed under: Ricinus communis (castor bean)
Lineage: Eukaryota; Viridiplantae; Streptophyta; Magnoliopsida; Malpighiales; Euphorbiaceae
Description: long non-coding RNA (RCOM_LNC001986)
Source: RNAcentral
UCAUCAACCAAGCAGAAGACAGAAGAAUUAAUGUUUCAGUUAACCAAAAAAAAAUUCCUUUUCUCCACAAUUAUGAUGAAUCUCAAACCACAACUGCUAUUAUUAAUUAUUCAAAAAGAAAACAAAUAAAAGCAACAGAGCAGAGAAACAAGUCGAGCUCAUUCACAUUAAAGCACCAAUCUUUCCCCCAAAAAAUUCAAAAAAGUGUUAAAUGGAUAAAAAUUAAAAGUACCCACCAACCAAAGAUAUGCAACGAAUAGAAAACUUUACUGAAACUUACCCAACUGAGAGACUUCAUUAUGGAAGGGCGAUGCAGAUGACUGCUGUCUUGCCAUCUGAGGUUGACCUGAUGGUGCUUGUCCAGGAUAUGAAGAUGACUGCUGCCUUGCCAUCUGAGGUUGACCAGAUGGUGCUUGUCCAGGAUAUGAAGAUGACUGCUGCCUUGCCAUCUGAGGUUGACCUAAUGGUGCUUGUCCAGGAAAUGAAGGUGACUGCUCUCUUGCCAUCUGAGGCUGACCUGAUGAUGGUUCUUGUCCAGGAAAUGAAGAUGGAUGCUGUCUUGCCAUUGGAGGUUGACCUGAUGAUGCUUGUCCAGGAAAUGAAGAUGAUUGAUCUCUUGCCAUUUGAGGAUGUCCCCACGGCAUUCUAGGUUGUCUUUGUGUAUAAAGAGGUCCUGAAGUGUUCCUCCACCUAUUUUCAUCCAAGACUAUCCCAAUUUCUUGACU